Molecule: ribosomal RNA, 220 nt
Filed under: Salmonella enterica
Lineage: Bacteria; Pseudomonadati; Pseudomonadota; Gammaproteobacteria; Enterobacterales; Enterobacteriaceae
Also listed under: 8 other names
Description: partial 16S ribosomal RNA
Rfam family: Bacterial small subunit ribosomal RNA
Source: RNAcentral
AAAUUGAAGAGUUUGAUCAUGGCUCAGAUUGAACGCUGGCGGCAGGCCUAACACAUGCAAGUCGAACGGUAACAGGAAGCAGCUUGCUGUUUCGCUGACGAGUGGCGGACGGGUGAGUAAUGUCUGGGAAACUGCCUGAUGGAGGGGGAUAACUACUGGAAACGGUGGCUAAUACCGCAUAACGUCGCAAGACCAAAGAGGGGGACCUUCGGGCCUCUUG